UACGUAGGGGGCUAGCGUUGUCCGGAAUCAUUGGGCGUAAAGAGCGUGUAGGCGGCCCGGUAAGUCCGCUGUGAAAGUCGGGGGCUCAACCCUCGAAUGCCGGUGGAUACUGUCGGGCUAGAGUGCGGAAGAGGCGAGUGGAAUUCCUGGUGUAGCGGUGAAAUGCGCAGAUAUCAGGAGGAACACCGAGUGCGAAGGCAGCUCGGUGGGACGUAACUGACGCUGAGACGCGAAAGCGUGGGGAGCAAACAGG
Molecule: ribosomal RNA, 253 nt
Filed under: uncultured bacterium
Lineage: Bacteria
Description: partial 16S ribosomal RNA
Rfam family: Bacterial small subunit ribosomal RNA
Source: RNAcentral